RNAcentral lists this microRNA precursor (67 nucleotides) under Cricetulus griseus (Chinese hamster). RNAcentral's name for it is "miRNA (ENSCGRG00000021633.1)". The record is from RNAcentral. Lineage: Eukaryota; Metazoa; Chordata; Mammalia; Rodentia; Cricetidae.
ACGAGUUGUGUGUGAGCAUACAUACACAUGUAUAUACACACACAUACUCACACACGUACACACACAU